UCCUUAGUAGCUCAAUGGUAGAGCUUUUGGCUGUUAACCAAAAAGUUGUAGGUUCAAAUCCUACCUAAGGAG
RNAcentral lists this transfer RNA (72 nucleotides) under Nitzschia sp. PL1-4. RNAcentral describes it as "tRNA-Asn". It matches the Rfam family "tRNA". Rfam says of the family: Transfer RNA (tRNA) molecules are approximately 80 nucleotides in length. Lineage: Eukaryota; Bacillariophyta; Bacillariophyceae; Bacillariales; Bacillariaceae. The record is from RNAcentral.